This 497-nucleotide ribosomal RNA is filed under the name uncultured bacterium. Its description in RNAcentral is "partial 16S ribosomal RNA". It matches the Rfam family "Bacterial small subunit ribosomal RNA", at positions 28 to 507 of the family's 1533-position model. The record is from RNAcentral.
GAUGAACGCUGGCGGCGUGCCUAAUACAUGCAAGUCGAGCGAACGGACGAGGAGCUUGCUCGUCUGAUGUUAGCGGCGGACGGGUGAGUAACACGUGGAUAACCUACCUAUAAGACUGGGAUAACUUCGGGAAACCGGAGCUAAUACCGGAUAAUAUUUUGAACCGCAUGGUUCAAGAGUGAAAGACGGUCUUGCUGUCACUUAUAGAUGGAUCCGCGUUGCAUUAGUUAGUUGGUAAGGUAACGGCUUACCAAGGCAACGAUGCAUAGCCGACCUGAGAGGGUGAUCGGCCACACUGUAACUGAGACACGGCCCCGACUCCUACGGGAGGAAGCAGUAGGGAAUCUUCCGCAAUGGACGAAAGCGUGAUGUAGCAACGCCGCGUGAGUGAUGAAGGUCUUCGGAUCGUAAAACUCUGUUAUUAGGGAAGAACAAAUGUGUAAGUACCUGUGAACAUCUUGACGGUACCUAAUCAGAAAGCUACGGCUAACUACGUG